RNAcentral lists this long non-coding RNA (1784 nucleotides) under Aquilegia coerulea. Its description in RNAcentral is "long non-coding RNA (ACOE_LNC000874)". The record is from RNAcentral. Lineage: Eukaryota; Viridiplantae; Streptophyta; Magnoliopsida; Ranunculales; Ranunculaceae.
UUUCAUCUUACAGGCUCGACGAUCAGAAAUUGAGUUUACCAGAAACAAUCAAAACAGAAUAUCAAAACUUGAAGCUAUGUUAAGAGGUAAUUUUCAAACUAACUAAUAACUCCAUGCCAGUACGUAGCUAGCUACUUAACAAUUCUUAAAUUUAAAAAUCCCACCUCGGCCACUCUGUGCUGUUUGUUUGUAUGUUUGAUUUUUAGUUAUGGUUAAGGUCUUAUAAGUUUUUCUAGUUGGAAUUGGCUAAAAAGUUACUAUAAGCUUCAUCCCCAAGCGUAUAGCUAUUAAGCUACUAGUUAUAAGUUUGAGGAUAGAGCUUAUAGUAACCGCCAUUUUUUUAGCCAAUUUCUACUAGAAAAGUUUAUAAGACCCUAACUAGAAGUAAAAACAAACAUACAUUUGGGUUUUCUAAUAGCUUAGAGCAUUCCUAAGAGCAUUCCCAAUGGUAGGUUUUAAAUCACUUUUAGCAACUUUUAGUAAAAAACUCUUGCCAAUAGUGGGUUUUAACACACUUUUCAAGCAAAACACUUUUAUCUCCUUGGCAAAUUUGCCAAAGAGUUAAAAGUGCCACAUAUGACUAUUUUAUUAAUUAAAAAUUAGAUUUCAUCACAAUGUACACUAUAUUUUUUGGGAAAAGUGAAACCUUAAAUUUUAACCCUUGUUUUAAAACCAACCAUUGGUAACUCUAAAAGUGCUAAUCACUUUUAACAUAAAUUUUAUGCUAAAACCUUUUCUCUCUCUCCUAUGUGGCACCCUUAAAACCCUUUUACUAUUGGGAAUGCUCUAAUGGUAGGUUUUAGCACACUUUUAGUGAAAACACUUGCCAAUGGUAGCUUUUAACACACUUUUCAAGCAAAACGCUUUUAACUCCUGACAAAUUUGCCAAGGAGUUAAAAGAGUUUUAGAGGUGCCACAUAAGAUUGUUUAAUAAUUAAAAUUAUAUUGCAUUAAAUGAUUGUCAUAUUUGUGUUACUUUUAUCUUUCAUUCGAAAACAACCAUCGGCAACUUUAAGAGUAAAAAAACACUUUUAGCAUAGUUUAAUCCUAAAACCUUUACCCUCUCUCCUACGUGGCACCUCCAAACCAUUUUACCAUUGAGAAUGCUCUUAUAAACUAUCAGAACUAGUAUAACUAAAAAAACAAACAUCACCGGUUUUUAUUCUAAGCUCUAGCUCAAAGUUAGUUAACAAUUGAACACUUUCUUUUCUUCUAAACUUAAUUAGGUGCUGCUGGAGACAACAAGUUUACAGGUUGGGUAAACGAGGUUAGUCUUUUUCUUUCUAAUUUUUUGUUGUUGGCAGUUGGCGCUUAACUUUUUAAUUCAAUUUCUCUAAUGUUAAUUACAGGUGUUUUUAACUGAUAAGAAAGAGUACGAAGAUGAAAUUGUAAGGCUCAAAUCUGACAUAAAGACGAUAUUAAUGCUCAAAAAGCUGAUACUUGGUUGCCAAACUGAACAAACAGUCAAAGAAGAAAGCAAACCUAGUGCAGCCAAAGAAGAAAGCAAACCUAGUGGAUAGAGGGGUAUUAUAUAUCUUUGUGGUAUCCAAUAUUAAUUGUUGUUUGUGAUUAGCAAAUUUAUGGCGUUAAUUAGUUCUUGUGUGGUAGUUUUGAUUAGGGAAAAGAAAAAAAAUCGAUCAAGGCACCCAUAGUGGAGCUUCCUGUUUGUUUAUUACAUUGAUCACUCUCAGAGAAUUUGAGGCAAUUUAUAGUUUCCUUAUUUGAAAAGAACAUGCAAGAGUCGUACCUUGUAACACUACAUUAAGUUCUUGAGCAAACAGUCA